Molecule: ribosomal RNA, 253 nt
Filed under: uncultured bacterium
Lineage: Bacteria
Description: partial 16S ribosomal RNA
Rfam family: Bacterial small subunit ribosomal RNA
Source: RNAcentral
UACGUAGGGGGCAAGCGUUGUCCGGAUUUAUUGGGCGUAAAGAGCGUGUAGGCGGCCAGACAGGUCUGCUGUGAAAACUCGAGGCUCAACCUCGAGACGCCGGUGGAAACCGUUUGGCUAGAGUCCGGAAGAGGAGAGUGGAAUUCCUGGUGUAGCGGUGAAAUGCGCAGAUAUCAGGAGGAACACCAAUGGCGAAGGCAGCACUCUGGGACGUGACUGACGCUGAGACGCGAAAGCGUGGGGAGCAAACAGG